Molecule: RNA transcript, 929 nt
Organism: Homo sapiens (human)
Lineage: Eukaryota; Metazoa; Chordata; Mammalia; Primates; Hominidae
Gene: ADAM5
Gene name: ADAM metallopeptidase domain 5 (pseudogene)
Source: RefSeq, marked validated
GUUCAUCGCCAGGGCUCUAAGACAGCGAGCCAUGUUCCUUCUUCUGGUGCUUCUCACUGGACUUGGUGGGAUGCAUGCAGACCUCAAUCCUCAUAAAAUCUUCCUACAGACCACAAUUCCAGAGAAGAUUUCAUCAUCGGAUGCAAAAACAGAUCCAGAACAUAAUGUUAUUUACAUGAUUACCAUAGGGAAAGCCAUAUUUUGUCCAUCUCAAAAAGCAAUCAAUUUUAUCUUCAGCUUCUGUUAUUAAUUCUUAUGACGAAAAUGACAUCCGUCAUUCCAAACCUCUGCUAGUUCAGAUGGAUUGCAUUUAUAAUGGAUAUGUUGCGGGUAUUCCAAAUUCUCUUGUGACUCUCAGCGUAUGUUCAGGACUCAGGGGAACAAUGCAGCUGAAAAACAUCUCAUAUGGAAUUGAACCGAUGGAGGCUGUUAUCAGGAUUUAUACACAAGAUUUAUGAAGAAAAAUAUGCUGACACUAAUAUUCUCUUAGAAGAAAAUGACACUUAUACUUGGUUUAAUUCAGAGUAUCAAGUCAGAAAAAGUUCAGAAAAAACUGACUUUAUUAAGUUAUUCCCUCGAUAUAUUGAAAUGCAUAUUGUUGUGGACAAAAAUUUGGUACUCUGGUGGUGUAAAGGAUUUUAACAUCUGUAGCUUGGAUGACUUUAAAUAUAUUUCUUCUCAUAAUGGCCUUACAUGUCUUCAGACAAACCCUCUUGAAAUGCCAACCUACACACACAGGAGAAUAUGUGGCAAUGGGUUGUUGGAAGGAAGUGAAGAAUGUGACUGUGGCACUAAAGACGUUAGUAGAAUAUUUUUUCUAAAAUUUAAAAAAUGUGUGGUAUUUCUAGUCAUUGUUUUAACCAAUACCAGAUAUACUCCACAAGAUGCCACUAUGUUUCAAAAACAACUGUUUCAACUGAUUUUCUACA